GAUGAAGAACGUAGCGAAAUGCGAUAAGUAGUGUGAAUUGCAGAAUUCAGUGAAUCAUCGAAUCUUUGAACGCACAUUGCGCCCCUUGGUAUUCCAUGGGGCAUGCCUGUUCGAGCGUCAUUUGUACCUUCAAGCUUUGCUUGGUGUUGGGUGUUUGUCCUGAGGGACUCGCCUUAAAGUAAUUGGCAGCCAGUGUUUGGUUUUGAAGCGCAUCACAAGUCGCGAUUCAAGGCUAUACACCAGCUUCCACAAGCCUUUUUCACUUUUGACCUCGGAUCAGGUAGGGAUACCCGCUGAACUUAAGCAUAUCAAUAAGCGGAGGA
RNAcentral lists this unclassified non-coding RNA (323 nucleotides) under soil metagenome. RNAcentral describes it as "partial contains 5.8S ribosomal RNA, internal transcribed spacer 2, and large subunit ribosomal RNA". The stretch from base 1 to 120 matches the Rfam family "5.8S ribosomal RNA", at positions 35 to 154 of the family's 154-position model. The record is from RNAcentral.